GAGAGUUUGAUCCUGGCUCAGAUUGAACGCUGGCGGCAGGCCUAACACAUGCAAGUCGAGCGGUAGCACAGAGAGCUUGCUCUCGGGUGACGAGCGGCGGACGGGUGAGUAAUGUCUGGGAAACUGCCUGAUGGAGGGGGAUAACUACUGGAAACGGUAGCUAAUACCGCAUAACGUCGCAAGACCAAAGUGGGGGACCUUCGGGCCUCAUGCCAUCAGAUGUGCCCAGAUGGGAUUAGCUUGUAGGUGAGGUAACGGCUCACCUAGGCGACGAUCCCUAGCUGGUCUGAGAGGAUGACCAGCCACACUGGAACUGAGACACGGUCCAGACUCCUACGGGAGGCAGCAGUGGGGAAUAUUGCACAAUGGGCGCAAGCCUGAUGCAGCCAUGCCGCGUGUGUGAAGAAGGCCUUCGGGUUGUAAAGCACUUUCAGCGGGGAGGAAGGCGGUGAGGUUAAUAACCUCAUCGAUUGACGUUACCCGCAGAAGAAGCACCGGCUAACUCCGUGCCAGCAGCCGCGGUAAUACGGAGGGUGCAAGCGUUAAUCGGAAUUACUGGGCGUAAAGCGCACGCAGGCGGUCUGUCAAGUCGGAUGUGAAAUCCCCGGGCUCAACCUGGGAACUGCAUUCGAAACUGGCAGGCUAGAGUCUUGUAGAGGGGGGUAGAAUUCCAGGUGUAGCGGUGAAAUGCGUAGAGAUCUGGAGGAAUACCGGUGGCGAAGGCGGCCCCCUGGACAAAGACUGACACUCAGGUGCGAAAGCGUGGGGAGCAAACAGGAUUAGAUACCCUGGUAGUCCACGCUGUAAACGAUGUCGAUUUGGAGGUUGUGCCCUUGAGGCGUGGCCUCCGGAGCUAACGCGUUAAAUCGACCGCCUGGGGAGUACGGCCGCAAGGUUAAAACUCAAAUGAAUGGACGGGGGCCCGCACAAGCGGUGGAGCAUGUGGUUUAAUUCGAUGCAACGCGAAGAACCUUACCUGGUCUUGACAUCCACAGAACUUUCCAGAGAUGGAUUGGUGCCUUCGGGAACUGUGAGACAGGUGCUGCAUGGCUGUCGUCAGCUCGUGUUGUGAAAUGUUGGGUUAAGUCCCGCAACGAGCGCAACCCUUAUCCUUUGUUGCCAGCGGUUAGGCCGGGAACUCAAAGGAGACUGCCAGUGAUAAACUGGAGGAAGGUGGGGAUGACGUCAAGUCAUCAUGGCCCUUACGGCCAGGGCUACACACGUGCUACAAUGGCAUAUACAAAGAGAAGCGACCUCGCGAGAGCAAGCGGACCUCAUAAAGUAUGUCGUAGUCCGGAUUGGAGUCUGCAACUCGACUCCAUGAAGUCGGAAUCGCUAGUAAUCGUAGAUCAGAAUGCUACGGUGAAUACGUUCCCGGGCCUUGUACACACCGCCCGUCACACCAUGGGAGUGGGUUGCAAAAGAAGUAGGUAGCUUAACCUUCGGGAGGGCGCUUACCACUUUGUGAUUCAUGACUGGGGUGAAGUCGUAACAAGGUAGCCGUAGA
This 1507-nucleotide ribosomal RNA is filed under the name Klebsiella variicola. RNAcentral describes it as "bacterial SSU rRNA". It matches the Rfam family "Bacterial small subunit ribosomal RNA". The record is from RNAcentral. Lineage: Bacteria; Pseudomonadati; Pseudomonadota; Gammaproteobacteria; Enterobacterales; Enterobacteriaceae.